UGGGGAAUAUUGGACAAUGGCCGCAAGCCUGAUCCAGCCAUGCCGCGUGAGUGAUGAAGGCCCUAGGGUUGUAAAGCUCUUUCACCGGUGAAGAUAAUGACGGUAACCGGAGAAGAAGCCCUGGCUAACUACGUG
RNAcentral lists this ribosomal RNA (135 nucleotides) under uncultured bacterium. RNAcentral describes it as "partial 16S ribosomal RNA". It matches the Rfam family "Bacterial small subunit ribosomal RNA", at positions 355 to 507 of the family's 1533-position model. The record is from RNAcentral.